UGUGUGUGCGCGUGUAUCUCUGUGGGGGCGGGUGUGGAGUUCCGACCAGCGGCACCGUCCUCCCGCGAGGGAAACGGCCGGAGAGGAACGAAGCGAAGCGAGUGACAGCAAUGAUCGUUUGUUUGUUUGUUCUCAUGUGUCAUUGUAAUCGCACGGGAAGAAUUGCUAUGCGCAGGCGCAUGGGAUGCUACUAAAUACAGUGCUCAGGCGGGAGUAGGAAUAAGAAGUCGCACUUGUAGAAGAUAGACGAGUAAAUGAGAUUCUGGGAUUGGGAUGAAGAAAGGGAGCAACGAUCGGAGCAUUUGCAUUUGUUUAAGAGUACUCGGUGCAGCCGUGGAGUGACAAGCAUUGCAGGAAUCAGUUAAAGUAACACAAAAAUUGGUUUAAAAAAGAAAAGAAAAGACAAGACCCUCUGGUAAAAUAUUGUAAUCAGUGGUGGUUACUGUACAAGUUAAAAGAUUCUCCACUGGAGCCAAAGUGGGAAGGACCCUAUCAAGUCCUUCUAACUACGCACAUGGUAGUCAAGGUGAAAGGGUUGGUCCCGUGGAUACAUCAUACCUGUGUGAAGGAAGUGUCUCAACCGCACUGGACCUGGGCAAAUCAAACGGAACAAGACUCCUGCAUUGCAGUCAACAACAGAUCCUUUCCAAACACGCCUCGCUGGGAUUUUCAACGGAGCAUUCUUUUGUGGUGAGAAAAACAUAGGUGCCAGACUCCUUGUCGGCAAGACAACGAGGAAGAGUGUUUACUUCAUCCCAAGGGACCAGAUGGGGAUGCGACCAUCCAGAGGAGAAUACAAUGCGUGCGCCGGAGGGGAGGGACUUGAUUAAUGAAUACGUAGUGGGGUUCAACGUAAUGUAUGAACUUGACUUACAAAUAUGUAACAUUUCUGUGGACCGGUAUGCAAGUUAGGAGGAGCUAUCCCCCUUGCAUCCAGCUUUGCGCAGCGUUGAUUAAAACAUACCUG
This 967-nucleotide long non-coding RNA is filed under the name Gallus gallus (chicken). Its description in RNAcentral is "lncRNA (ENSGALG00010016210.1)". The record is from RNAcentral. Lineage: Eukaryota; Metazoa; Chordata; Aves; Galliformes; Phasianidae.